Molecule: unclassified non-coding RNA, 406 nt
Filed under: soil metagenome
Description: partial contains 5.8S ribosomal RNA, internal transcribed spacer 2, and large subunit ribosomal RNA
Rfam family: 5.8S ribosomal RNA (bases 1-121)
Source: RNAcentral
GAUGAAGAACGCAGCGAAAUGCGAUAAGUAAUGUGAAUUGCAGAAUUCAGUGAAUCAUCGAAUCUUUGAACGCACCUUGCGCCCUUUGGCCAUUCCGAAGGGCAUGUCUGUUUGAGUAUCAUGAACACCUCAACUCUUCAUGGUUUUCCAUGAUGAGCUUGGACUUUGGGGGUCUUGCUGGCCUGUGGGUCGGCUCCUCUCAAAUGAAUCAGCUUGCCAGUUUUUGGUGGGCAUCACAGGUGUGAUAACUAUCUACGCUUGUGGUUUUCCACCAGGGUAACCUUCAGCAGUGGAGGUUCACUGGAGCUUACAAAUGUCUCUCCUCUGUGAGGACAGCCCUUUGAAUGUUUGAUCUCAAAUCAGGUAGGACUACCCGCUGAACUUAAGCAUAUCAAUAAGCGGAGGA